CGGACGGGUGAGUAAUGUCUGGGAAACUGCCUGAUGGAGGGGGGUAACUACUGGAAACGGUAGCUAAUACCGCAUAACGUCGCAAGACCAAAGAGGGGGACCUUCGGGCCUCUUGCCAUCGGAUGUGCCCAGAUGGGAUUAGCUAGUAGGUGGGGUAAUGGCUCACCUAGGCGACGAUCCCUAGCUGGUCUGAGAGGAUGACCAGCCACACUGGAACUGAGACACGGUCCAG
This 232-nucleotide ribosomal RNA is filed under the name uncultured bacterium. Its description in RNAcentral is "partial 16S ribosomal RNA". It matches the Rfam family "Bacterial small subunit ribosomal RNA", at positions 99 to 334 of the family's 1533-position model. The record is from RNAcentral.